Molecule: non-coding RNA, 769 nt
Organism: Dermacentor albipictus
Lineage: Eukaryota; Metazoa; Arthropoda; Arachnida; Ixodida; Ixodidae
Source: RefSeq, a predicted model, not a curated record
UCCACGUUGGUUGUCGUUAGUGCUCCCUGCAGUAAGGUGGUAUUUGAGGUAAAUUUUAGAAGUGCCUAGACAAAACGUGCUGCUUGUUGUGUGCAGUGACCAUCCCAAACCCUCCGGACUCGUGUAACGCCAUUAGUUCGCCGUGUGUUUCGAGCGAUCCACCAGUGUCGUCAGUGAGUGCCCUAGUACAGCUCCCGUCCGAACUGCCUUUGUUCUGCCGAGCUGCCUGCCGGCGCUCUCGUCAAAAGUCUGGUACUGGGGCUUCGAAUUGUAGUGUUUGGAAGACUGUUGAAGGUUGUGCUUUUGUGGAGCUGGAGUUCAUCGGCAGUUCUACAGUGCUUGCGCCAGAGAAACGUCGGUGCUUCUGUACCUAUUAGACGAAGGAGCGUUUGCCAAGUCUUGAAAGGUAGACAUCGGUGACUGUGUAUACGUUGAAAAGGGCCUGCUGAAGAGGCUGUGCCUGGAUGCUAACAACUCAGGCUUUCACUUCGCGGAGAGCCUCCUUAAAGCUCCUUUUUCAAUAGAAGACGUUGAAGGGAGGUCCUUCCACUAGAAGACGUUGAAGGGUCCUUCCAAUAGAAGACGUUGAAGGUCCUUCCAAUAGAAGACGUUGAAGGGAUGCCUUCCACAGAAGGAUCCGUUGGAUUCCAAGAAGGUCAACACCAUAGUAGACUACACAACGCAACAUUUCAGCCUACUUCCAGGGCAGCUGGAGAACUCGUCCUCCUUACUAGCCCGGGGAUAUUAAAUGGAUGUGUUCAAGCACAAA